This 314-nucleotide unclassified non-coding RNA is filed under the name plant metagenome. Its description in RNAcentral is "partial contains 5.8S ribosomal RNA, internal transcribed spacer 2, and large subunit ribosomal RNA". The stretch from base 1 to 105 matches the Rfam family "5.8S ribosomal RNA", at positions 50 to 154 of the family's 154-position model. The record is from RNAcentral.
GAAAUGCGAUAAUUAAUGUGAAUUGCAGAAUUCAGUGAAUCAUCAAGUCUUUGAACGCACAUUGCGCCCCCUGGUAUUCCGGGGGGCAUGCCUGUCCGAGCGUCAUUGCUGCCCUCAAGCACGGCUUGUGUGUUGGGCUUCCGUCCCUGGCAACGGGGACGGGCCCAAAAGGCAGUGGCGGCACCAUGUCUGGUCCUCGAGCGUAUGGGGCUUUGUCACCCGCUCCCGUAGGUCCAGCUGGCAGCUAGCCUCGCAACCAAUCUUUUUAACCAGGUUGACCUCGGAUCAGGUAGGGAUACCCGCUGAACUUAAGC